This 366-nucleotide ribosomal RNA is filed under the name uncultured eukaryote. Its description in RNAcentral is "partial 18S ribosomal RNA". It matches the Rfam family "Eukaryotic small subunit ribosomal RNA", at positions 592 to 976 of the family's 1831-position model. The record is from RNAcentral.
CAAUAGCGUAUAUUAACGUUGUUGCAGUUAAAAAGCUCGUAGUUGGAUUUCUGGAGGGAGCGUCGGCCCGUAUUUACGAGUGCGUGACGUCUCUGUCCAUCCUUGCGGGAAGGCACGGCAUUGAUUUGUUGUGUCGGAUCGCAUCAUUUACUGUGAAAAAAUUAGAGUGUUCAAAGCAGGCUUUCGCUUGAAUACAUUAGCAUGGAAUAAUAAGAUAGUACUUUGGUGCUAUUUUGUUGGUUGAGCCUAAAGUAAUGAUUAAUAGGGAUAGUUGGGGGCACCUGUAUUGCGUUGUCAGAGGUGAAAUUCUUGGAUUUACGCAAGACAAACAGCUGCGAAAGCGUCUGCCAAGGAUGUUUUCAUUAA